UGGGGAAUAUUGGACAAUGGGCGCAAGCCUGAUCCAGCAAUGCCGCGUGUGUGAAGAAGGCCUUCGGGUUGUAAAGCACUUUUAUCAGGAGCGAAACGCUGUCGGCUAAUACCCGGCGGAACUGACGGUACCUGAGGAAUAAGCACCGGCUAACUUCGUGCCAGCAGCCGCGGUAAUACGAAGGGUGCAAGCGUUAAUCGGAAUUACUGGGCGUAAAGCGUGCGUAGGCGGUUUCUUAAGUCUGCUGUGAAAUCCCCGGGCUCAACCUGGGAAUGGCAGUGGAUACUGGGAGGCUAGAGUGUGUCAGAGGGUGGUGGAAUUCCCGGUGUAGCGGUGAAAUGCGUAGAGAUCGGGAGGAACAUCAGUGGCGAAGGCGGCCACCUGGGACAACACUGACGCUGAGGCACGAAAGCGUGGGGAGCAAACAGGAUUAGAUACCCUGGUAGUCCACGCCCUAAACGAUGCGGACUGGAUGUUGGUCUCAACUCGGAGAUCAGUGUCGAAGCUAACGCGUUAAGUUCGCCGCCUGGGGAGUACGGUCGCAAGAUUAAAACUCAAAUGAAUUGACGGGGUCAUAGCUGUUUCCUG
RNAcentral lists this ribosomal RNA (588 nucleotides) under uncultured bacterium. RNAcentral describes it as "partial 16S ribosomal RNA". It matches the Rfam family "Bacterial small subunit ribosomal RNA", at positions 355 to 1376 of the family's 1533-position model. The record is from RNAcentral.